UCCCUUCUGCUGAUGCACAUGGCCUGUAAAUUCUAGAACCAGCAACCUGCAUGCACUUACACAUUGUACUUACUACCAUAUUUUAUUGCCUGUGCUCAGAUCAGUCUAUGCCUUCUAAGAUUUACGUAUUUUUAUAGCACUCAUCUUCAAAAACCUAUUGAUGCACAUAUACUUCCAAAUAGAAUGUACUGAAAUACCAGGUAAACUACCGCAGCAAUAAAGUCAGAUCCGUCCAAUCGUCGCCCUGAGUACGACGACAGCUGUUUCCAGGGAAGACGGCUAUCAGCCGAGCUAAUCAGAGACAUCAGGGGAGAGCAGCCUUCAUUUCUCUCCACGGCUCACGCGACCCUUGAAUCACAGUGACUAACCUCAUUGCCAAAAUAAUGUCAUCCCCAAAAAGGCAUUUGCCAGAACAGCU
Molecule: non-coding RNA, 418 nt
Organism: Phasianus colchicus (ring-necked pheasant)
Lineage: Eukaryota; Metazoa; Chordata; Aves; Galliformes; Phasianidae
Source: RefSeq, a predicted model, not a curated record